Molecule: ribosomal RNA, 236 nt
Filed under: uncultured bacterium
Lineage: Bacteria
Description: partial 16S ribosomal RNA
Rfam family: Bacterial small subunit ribosomal RNA
Source: RNAcentral
CGGGACGGGUGAGUAACGCGUGGGUAACCUACCCUGUACACACGGAUAACAUACCGAAAGGUAUGCUAAUACGGGAUAAUAUAUUUGAGAGGCAUCUCUUGAAUAUCAAAGGUGAGCCAGUACAGGAUGGACCCGCGUCUGAUUAGCUAGUUGGUAAGGUAACGGCUUACCAAGGCGACGAUCAGUAGCCGACCUGAGAGGGUGAUCGGCCACAUUGGAACUGAGACACGGUCCAA